RNAcentral lists this transfer RNA (72 nucleotides) under Anaerobacillus sp. HL2. RNAcentral describes it as "tRNA-Gly". It matches the Rfam family "tRNA". Rfam says of the family: Transfer RNA (tRNA) molecules are approximately 80 nucleotides in length. Their secondary structure includes four short double-helical elements and three loops (D, anti-codon, and T loops). Lineage: Bacteria; Bacillati; Bacillota; Bacilli; Caryophanales; Bacillaceae. The record is from RNAcentral.
GCGGGUGUAGUUUAGUGGUAAAACCUCAGCCUUCCAAGCGAUGUGUUGUGAGUUCGAUUCUCAUCACCCGCU